UACGGAGGGUGCGGGCGUUAAUCGGAAUUACUGUGCGUAAAGCGCGCGUAGGCGGCUUGAUAAGCCGGUUGUGAAAGCCCCGGGCUCAACCUGGGAACCGCAUCCGGAACGGACAGGCUAGUGUGCAGGAGAGGAAGGUAGAAUUCCCGGUGUAGCGGUGAAAUGCGUAGAGAUCGGGAGGAAUACCAGUGGCGAAGGCGGCCUUCUGGACUGACACUGACGCUGAGGUGCGAAAGCGUGGGUAGCAAACAGG
RNAcentral lists this unclassified non-coding RNA (253 nucleotides) under uncultured Halomonadaceae bacterium. Its description in RNAcentral is "contains 16S-23S intergenic spacer region". It matches the Rfam family "Bacterial small subunit ribosomal RNA", at positions 524 to 776 of the family's 1533-position model. The record is from RNAcentral. Lineage: Bacteria; Pseudomonadati; Pseudomonadota; Gammaproteobacteria; Oceanospirillales; Halomonadaceae.